UCAAAUUUGAAAUCUGGCACCUUCGGUGUCCGAGUUGUAAUUUGAAGAAGGUAACUUUGGAGUUGGCUCUUGUCUAUGUUCCUUGGAACAGGACGUCACAGAGGGUGAGAAUCCCGUGCGAUGAGAUGUCCAACUCUAUGUAAAGUGCUUUCGAAGAGUCGAGUUGUUUGGGAAUGCAGCUCUAAGUGGGUGGUAAAUUCCAUCUAAAGCUAAAUAUUGGCGAGAGACCGAUAGCGAACAAGUACAGUGAUGGAAAGAUGAAAAGAACUUUGAAAAGAGAGUGAAAAAGUACGUGAAAUUGUUGAAAGGGAAGGGUUUGAGAUCAGACUUGGUAUUUUGUAUGUCUUGCUUUCGGGUGGGGCCUCUGCAGUUUACUGGGCCAGCAUCGGUUUGGACGGUAGGAUAAUGACAUUGGAAUGUGGCACUACUUCGGUGGUGUGUUAUAGACUUUGUUGAUACUGCCUGUCUAGACCGAGGACUGCGUCUUUGACUAGGAUGCUGGCAUAAUGAUCCUAAACCGC
RNAcentral lists this ribosomal RNA (521 nucleotides) under Scheffersomyces shehatae. RNAcentral describes it as "eukaryotic LSU rRNA". It matches the Rfam family "Eukaryotic large subunit ribosomal RNA", at positions 109 to 648 of the family's 3401-position model. Lineage: Eukaryota; Fungi; Ascomycota; Pichiomycetes; Serinales; Debaryomycetaceae. The record is from RNAcentral.